Molecule: transfer RNA, 89 nt
Filed under: Staphylococcus aureus
Lineage: Bacteria; Bacillati; Bacillota; Bacilli; Caryophanales; Staphylococcaceae
Also listed under: 1 other name
Description: tRNA-Leu
Rfam family: tRNA
About the family: Transfer RNA (tRNA) molecules are approximately 80 nucleotides in length. Their secondary structure includes four short double-helical elements and three loops (D, anti-codon, and T loops).
Source: RNAcentral
GCCGGGGUGGCGGAACUGGCAGACGCACAGGACUUAAAAUCCUGCGGUGAGWGAUCACCGUACCGGUUCGAUUCCGGUCCUCGGCACCA